GCUCGUUAGAACAAGGUCAGUCAGAGAAACUAUAAGAAAACACUGUUGGACAGAUUGUCCUUUCUGCUGGAUUAGCCUCCAGUGAAAAUAGUACUGGUACUACUACUACUUUAAAAAAAACCAAACCAACAAAGCCCAACGCUUUAGAGUUCACUCACUGAGAAGUUUGAUACAUUUUUCUGAAGAAAUCAAAGUGUUCAAAGCUGACUGGCCAACUGUACACUCCAGCCAGGAAUAAAAGAAUAGGACUGGCUUUUUUGUUCUUGUGUUUUGGACACAGGGACAUAAUUAAGAGCAAUGGCUGGGGGCUUUCAUAUUGUGCCACUUGAACUGGAAUUCCUGGACGAGUGCAAGAUGAACUAAAACAAAAUCAUUUGCCAAGAAUCUUUUCAUUAAUCAAGAAC
This 404-nucleotide non-coding RNA is filed under the name Tyto alba (common barn owl). RNAcentral describes it as "Eukaryotic small subunit ribosomal RNA". It matches the Rfam family "Eukaryotic small subunit ribosomal RNA", at positions 626 to 984 of the family's 1831-position model. The record is from Rfam by way of RNAcentral. Lineage: Eukaryota; Metazoa; Chordata; Aves; Strigiformes; Tytonidae.